RNAcentral lists this ribosomal RNA (1664 nucleotides) under Peltula farinosa. RNAcentral's name for it is "LSU rRNA". It matches the Rfam family "Eukaryotic large subunit ribosomal RNA", at positions 69 to 1399 of the family's 3401-position model. Lineage: Eukaryota; Fungi; Ascomycota; Lichinomycetes; Lichinales; Phylliscaceae. The record is from RNAcentral.
CAGGGAUUGCCUCAGUAACGGCGAGUGAAGCGGCACCAGCUCAGAUUUGGAAUCUGGCCCUACUUGUGGGGCCCGAGUUGUAGUCUGGAGAGGAUGCUUUGGGGGACGAUCGGGCCCAAGUUCCUUGGAACAGGGCGUCAGAGAGGGUGAGAGUCCCGUCUGUGGCCUGAGCCUGUCCUCUGCGUGAAGCUCCCUCGACGAGUCGAGUUGUUUGGGAAUGCAGCUCAAACCAGGUGGUAAAUCUCAUCUAAAGCUAAAUACCCGCCAGAGACCGAUAGCACACAAGUAGAGUGAUCGAAAGAUGAAAAGCACUUUGAAAAGAGAGUUAAACAGCACGUGAAAUUGUUGAAAGGGAAGCGCUCGCGAUCAGACUUGCCCGUGGUUCCUCAGUUGAUGGGAGACCACCGACGCAAUGGACCGUGGGCAGGCCAGCAUCGGCCCAGGCAGUGGGAGAAGGACCCUGGGAAUGUGGCUCCCUUCGGGGUGCGUUAUAGCCUGGGGUGUGACGCCACCGCCUGAGCCGAGGCCCGCGCUACGGCAAGGAUGCUGGCGUAAUGAUCGCCAGCGACCCGUCUUGAAACACGGACCAAGGAGUCUAACAUCCACGCGAGUGUUUGGGUGUCAAACCCCGGCGCGCAAUGAAAGUGAACGGAGGUGGGAAUCCAUAGGGAUGCACCAUCGACCGAUCCUGAAGUCUACGGAUGGAUUUGAGUAUGAGCGUGGCUGUUGGGACCCGAAAGAUGGUGAACUAUGCCUGAAUAGGGUGAAGCCAGAGGAAACUCUGAUGGAGGCUCGCAGCGGUUCUGACGUGCAAAUCGAUCGUCAAAUUUGGGUAUAGGGGCGAAAGACUAAUCGAACCAUUGGUGGAGAGCACCCUCUGGAGUGCACUCUUCUGCUGCUAGGUGGUUGAGAGGCGGCCUAAGUUGCUGCCUAGUCGCCCGAUUGGGGAGGCAACACCGCCAAAUUGCGGGAACGCCCUUAGAGCUCAAGUGACCGCUCCUCUUGUCGAAAGCUGGGAUGUGCACCACGGUUAAUUGCCGCGGAUAAGGUAAAAUCGCUUGAGAUUGGGUAAUCCGCAGCGUGGUCCUGCUGGUGCUUGGGCACCAACGGAUGACGUUCACAGACUAGAUGGUGGUGGGUGGAUCGUAUGCCUGAAAGAUCUGCUUAAGAUAUAGUCGGGCCACCGGGAAACCCGGCUGGGUGUGAGUGCUAGUAGCUGGUUCCUGCCGAAGUUUCCCUCAGGAUAGCAGUAACGUGUGGCAGUUUUAUGAGGUAAAGCGAAUGAUUAGAGGCCUUGGGGUUGAAACAACCUUAACCUAUUCUCAAACUUUGAAUAUGUAAGAAGUCCUUGUUGCUUGGUUGAACGUGGACACUCGAAUGUACCGUUACUAGUGGGCCAUUUUUGGUAAGCAGAACUGGCGAUGCGGGAUGAACCGAACGCGGGGUUAAGGUGCCGGAAUGCACGCUCAUCAGACACCACAAAAGGUGUUGGUUCAUCUAGACAGCAGGACGGUGGCCAUGGAAGUCGGAACCCGCUAAGGAGUGUGUAACAACUCACCUGCCGAAUGAACUAGCCCUGAAAAUGGAUGGCGCUCAAGCGUGCUACCCAUACCCCGCCGCCAGGGUAGGAACGAUGCCCUGGCGAGUAGGCAGGCGUGGGGGUC